RNAcentral lists this ribosomal RNA (449 nucleotides) under uncultured bacterium. RNAcentral's name for it is "SSU rRNA". It matches the Rfam family "Bacterial small subunit ribosomal RNA", at positions 26 to 518 of the family's 1533-position model. The record is from RNAcentral.
AGAGCGAACGCUGGCGGCAGGCCUAAAACAUGCAAGUCGAACGCCGUAGCAAUACGGAGUGGCAGACGGGUGAGUAACACGUGGGAACGUACCCUUUGGUUCGGAACAACACAGGGAAACUUGUGCUAAUACCGGAUAAGCCCUUACGGGGAAAGAUUUAUCGCCAGAGGAUCGGCCCGCGUCUGAUUAGCUAGUUGGUGGGGUAACGGCCCACCAAGGCUACGAUCAGUAGCUGGUCUGAGAGGAUGAUCAGCCACACUGGGACUGAGACACGGCCCAGACUCCUACGGGAGGCAGCAGUGAGGAAUUUUCCGCAAUGGGCGAAAGCCUGACGGAGCAAUGCCGCGUGAAGGAUGAAGGCCUGUGGGUUGUAAACGUUCUUUUCUCAGAGAAGAAAUAAUGACGGUAUCUGAGGAAUAAGCAUCGGCUAACUCUGUGCCAGCAGCCGC